This 1170-nucleotide long non-coding RNA is filed under the name Oncorhynchus mykiss (rainbow trout). RNAcentral describes it as "lncRNA (ENSOMYG00000056823.1)". Lineage: Eukaryota; Metazoa; Chordata; Actinopteri; Salmoniformes; Salmonidae. The record is from RNAcentral.
AUGCUGACUGGCUGCUCCAUGCUGACUGACAGCUCUGGCUGCUCCAUGCUGACUGGCAGCUCUGGCUGCUCCAUGCUGACUGGCAGCUCUGGCUGCUCCAUGCUGACUGGCAGCUCUGGCUGCUCCAUGCUGACUGGCAGCUCUGGCUGCUCCAUGCUGACUGGCAGCUCUGGCUGCUCCAUGCUGACUGGCAGCUCUGGCUGCUCCAUGCUGACUGGCAGCUCUGGCUGCUCCAUGCUGACUGGCUGCUCUGGCUGCUCCAUGCUGACUGGCUGCUCUGGCUGCUCCAUGCUGACUGGCUGCUCCAUGCUGACUGGCUGCUCCAUGCUGACUGGCUGCUCCAUGCUGACUGGCAGCUCUGGCUGCUCCAUGCUGACUGGCGGCCCUGGCUGCUCCAUGCUGACUGGCUGCUCCAUGCUGACUGGCGGCCCUGGCUGCUCCAUGCUGACUGGCAGCCCUGGCUGCUCCAUGCUGACUGGCAGCCCUGGCUGCUCCAUGCUGACUGGCGGCCCUGGCUGCUCCAUACUGACUGGCGGCCCUGGCUGCUCCAUACUGACUGGCGGCCCUGGCUGCUCCUUGCAGACUGGCAGCUCUGGCGGCUCCUUGCAGACUGGCAGCUCUGGCGGCUCCUUGCAGACUGGCAGCUUUGGCGGCAUCCUGCAGACAGGCAGCUUUGGCGGCAUCCUGCAGACAGGCAGCUCUGGCGGCAUCCUGCAGACAGGCAGCUCUGGCGGCUCCUUGCAGACUGGCAGCUCCUUGCAGACUGGCAGCUCUAUGCAGACUGGCAGCUCUAUGCAGACUGGCAGCUCCUUGCAGACUGGCAGCUCUAUGCUAACUGGCAGCUCUAUGCUAACUGGCAGCUCUAUGCUAACUGGCAGCUCUAUGCUAACUGGCAGCUCUAUGCUAACUGGCAGUUCUGAACAGGCGGGAGACUCCGGCAGCGCUGUAGAGAAGGAAGGCUCUAACAGCGCUAAACAGGCGGGAGACUCCGACAGCGCUGGAGAGGAGGAGGGCUCCGACAGCGCUGGACAGGCGAGGCGCACUGUAGGCCUGAUGCGUGGUGCUGGCACUGGUGGUACUGGGCCGAGGACACGCACAGGAAGCCUGGUGCGGGGAGCUGCUACCGGAGGGCUGGGGUGUGGAGGUGGCACAGGAUGGGUUAGACCGUGA